Molecule: ribosomal RNA, 1245 nt
Filed under: uncultured Mycoplasma sp.
Lineage: Bacteria; Bacillati; Mycoplasmatota; Mollicutes; Mycoplasmatales; Mycoplasmataceae
Description: partial 16S ribosomal RNA
Rfam family: Bacterial small subunit ribosomal RNA
Source: RNAcentral
UCGAGCGAAUCCCUUCGGGGAUUAGCGGCGAACGGGUGAGUAAUACAUAUCUAACAUACUCCGAAGAAGGGGAUAGCCGUUUGAAAAAGCGAUUAAUACCCUAUAAUUAGCCCCCCGCAAAAGCGGGGGGCUUGAAAGGAGCAAUCCGCUUUGGAAUUGGGAUAUGGUCUAUUAGCUAGUUGGCGGGAUAAAAGCCCCCCAAGGCGAUGAUAGAUAGCUGGAUUGAGAAGUUGAACAGCCACAAUGGGAUUGAGAUACGGCCCAUAUUCCUACGGGAAGCAGCAGUAGGGGAUCUUCCACAAUGGGCGAAAGCCUGAUGGAGCAAUACCAUGUGAACGACGAAGGUCUUAUUGAUUGUAAAGUUCUUUUAAGAGGGAUAAAACAAGAUGGUACCUCUUGAAUAAGUGACAGCAAACUAUGUGCCAGCAGCUGCGGUAAUACAUAGGUCGCGAGCGUUAUUCGGAUUUAUUGGGCGUAAAGAGAGCGCAGGCGGAUGGAUAAGUUCUGUGUGAAAGGUAGCCGCUCAACGGUUACUUGCGCCGAAUACUGUCUGUCUAGAAUACGGUAGGGAGGUUCGGAAUUGAAUGUGGAGCGGUGGAAUGUGUAGAUAUAUUCAAGAACACCAGAGGCGAAGGCGGAACCUUAGGCCGAUAUUGACGCUUAGGCUCGAAAGUGUGGGGAGCAAAUGGGAUUAGAUACCCCAGUAGUCCACACCGUAAACGAUGGAUAUUUGAUGUUGGGAGUUGAGAGUCUCAGCGUUGUAGCUUACGUGUUAAAUAUCCCGCCUGGGUAGUACAUAUGCAAAUAUGAAACUCAAAGGAAUUGACGGGGACCUGAACAAGUGGUGGAACAUGUUGCUUAAUUCGAUAAUACACGAAAAACCUUACCAAGAUUUGACAUCCCCCGCAAAGGUAUAGAAAUAUACUCGGAGGUUAUCGGGGUGACAGGUGGUGCAUGGUUGUCGUCAGCUCGUGUCUUGAGAUGUUUGGUUAAGUCCCGCAACGAGCGCAACCCUACUCUCUAGUUAGUAUGUUUAGAGAGACUGAACAGAAAUGUAUAGGAAGGAUAGGAUCACGUCAAAUCAUCAUGCCCCUUAUGUCUUGGGCUGCAAACGUGUUACAAUGGCUAGUACAGCGUGCUCGCAAACCAGCAAUGGUAAGCUAAUCACUAAAAGCUAGCCCCAGUUCGGAUUAAAGGCUGCAAUUCGCCUUUAUGAAGUUGGAAUCACUAGUAAUCCCGUGUCAG